RNAcentral lists this microRNA precursor (59 nucleotides) under Limulus polyphemus (Atlantic horseshoe crab). The record is from RNAcentral. Lineage: Eukaryota; Metazoa; Arthropoda; Merostomata; Xiphosura; Limulidae.
UGGCAGUGUGGUUAGCUGGUUGUGAGUAUUAGUAAACAACCACUAUCUGCAGUGCUUCA